GACGAACGCUGGCGGCGUGCUUAACACAUGCAAGUCGAACGCUGAAGACCUGGCUUUUGUUGGGUUGGCUGAGUGGCGAACGGGUGAGUAACACGUGAGUAACCUGCCCUCUUCUUUGGGAUAACGCCCGGAAACGGGUGCUAAUACUGGAUAUUCACUGAUCUUCGCAUGGGGGUUGGUGGAAAGGUUUGUUCUGGUGGGGGAUGGGCUCGCGGCCUAUCAGCUUGUUGGUGGGGUGAUGGCCUACCAAGGCUUUGACGGGUGGCCGGCCUGAGAGGGUGACCGGUCACAUUGGGACUGAGAUACGGCCCAGACUCCUACGGGAGGCAGCAGUGGGGAAUAUUGCACAAUGGGCGAAAGCCUGAUGCAGCGACGCCGCGUGAGGGAUGGAGGCCUUCGGGUUGGAAACCUCUUUCGCUCAUGGUCAAGCCGCAACUGUGGGUUGUGGUGAGGGUAGUGGGUAAAGAAGCGCCGGCUAACUACGUG
Molecule: ribosomal RNA, 486 nt
Filed under: uncultured bacterium
Lineage: Bacteria
Description: partial 16S ribosomal RNA
Rfam family: Bacterial small subunit ribosomal RNA
Source: RNAcentral